AUACGUAGGGUGCGAGCGUUGUCCGGAAUUACUGGGCGUAAAGAGCUCGUAGGUGGUUUGUCGCGUCGUCUGUGAAAUUCCGGGGCUUAACUCCGGGCGUGCAGGCGAUACGGGCAUAACUUGAGUACUGUAGGGGAGACUGGAAUUCAUGGUUUAGCGGUGAAAUGCGCAGAUAUCAGGAGGAACACCGGUGGCGAAGGCGGGUCUCUGGGCAGUAACUGACGCUGAGGAGCGAAAGCAUGGGUAGCGAACAGGAUUAGAUACCCUGGUAGUCCGUGCCGUAAACGGUGGGCGCUAGGUGUAGGGGUCUUCCACGACUUCUGUGCCGUAGCUAACGCAUUAAGCGCCCCGCCUGGGGAGUACGGCCGCAAGGCUAAAACUCAAAUGAAUUGACGGGG
Molecule: ribosomal RNA, 398 nt
Filed under: uncultured bacterium
Lineage: Bacteria
Description: partial 16S ribosomal RNA
Rfam family: Bacterial small subunit ribosomal RNA
Source: RNAcentral